CAAUAGCGUAUAUUUAAGUUGUUGCAGUUAAAAAGCUCGUAGUUGGAUUUCGGUUGAGAACGGCCGGUCCGCCGUUUGGUGUGCACUGGCUGGUUUCAACUUCCUGUAGAGGACGUGCUCUGGCUUCACGGCUGGACGCGGAGUCUACGUGGUUACUUUGAAAAAAUUAGAGUGUUCAAAGCGGGCUUACGCUUGAAUAUUUCAGCAUGGAAUAACACUAUAGGACUCCUGUCCUAUUUCGUUGGUCUCGGGACGGGAGUAAUGAUUAAGAGGAACAGUUGGGGGCAUUCGUAUUUCAUUGUCAGAGGUGAAAUUCUUGGAUUUAUGAAAGACGAACUUCUGCGAAAGCAUUUGCCAAGGAUGUUUUCAUUA
RNAcentral lists this ribosomal RNA (372 nucleotides) under uncultured eukaryote. Its description in RNAcentral is "partial 18S ribosomal RNA". It matches the Rfam family "Eukaryotic small subunit ribosomal RNA", at positions 592 to 975 of the family's 1831-position model. The record is from RNAcentral.